Molecule: ribosomal RNA, 397 nt
Filed under: uncultured bacterium
Lineage: Bacteria
Description: partial 16S ribosomal RNA
Rfam family: Bacterial small subunit ribosomal RNA
Source: RNAcentral
AUACGUAGGGGGCGAGCGCUGUCCGGAAUGAUUGGGCGUAAAGGGCGCGUAGGCGGCGCGGUAAGUCUGGAGUGAAAGUCCUGCUUUCAAGGUGGGAAUUGCUUUGGAUACUGCCGCACUUGAGUGCAGGAGAGGUUAUCGGAAUUCCCGGUGUAGCGGUGAAAUGCGUAGAGAUCGGGAGGAACACCAGUGGCGAAGGCGGGUAACUGGACUGCAACUGACGCUGAGGCGCGAAAGUGUGGGGAGCAAACAGGAUUAGAUACCCUGGUAGUCCACACUGUAAACGAUGAAUGCUAGGUGUAAGAGGUAUCGACCCCUUUUGUGCCGGAGUCAACACAAUAAGCAUUCCGCCUGGGGAGUACGGCCGCAAGGUUGAAACUCAAAUGAAUUGACGGGG